This 123-nucleotide ribosomal RNA is filed under the name Brassica napus (rape). Its description in RNAcentral is "rRNA 5_8S_rRNA". It matches the Rfam family "5.8S ribosomal RNA". From Rfam's summary of the family: 5.8S ribosomal RNA (5.8S rRNA) is a component of the large subunit of the eukaryotic ribosome. It is transcribed by RNA polymerase I as part of the 45S precursor that also contains 18S and 28S rRNA. Functionally, it is thought that 5.8S rRNA may be involved in ribosome translocation. Lineage: Eukaryota; Viridiplantae; Streptophyta; Magnoliopsida; Brassicales; Brassicaceae. The record is from Rfam by way of RNAcentral.
GACUCUCGGCAAUGGAUAUCUCGGCUCUCGAAUCGAUGAAGAACGUAGCAAAAUGCGAUACUUUAUGUGAAUUGCAGAAUUCCGUGGAGAUGGUGUUUGUUCGGAAGCAGUGCUGCAAUGUAA